Molecule: non-coding RNA, 439 nt
Organism: Saimiri boliviensis boliviensis (Bolivian squirrel monkey)
Lineage: Eukaryota; Metazoa; Chordata; Mammalia; Primates; Cebidae
Source: RefSeq, a predicted model, not a curated record
GCCCUUUAGUGGCUGUGGUGGCCGGAAGUUGUUCACCAUGUGGACCCUCUCAUCGUCCUCCGAGAUGAGAAAAGCAAGGCUCAGAGAUGAGUAGCUGGAAGAUGCACAGUGAGUGACGGAACAAAGAUGAAAGCCCAGGGCUGCUGGGCUCCUCAUUCAAUACUGUCCAAAAUCACUGGAGAGGGAGGAAGUAGAUUUUAAAUUUGACUCUCAUUUGUGUGUAUAUGCAAGUCCUCUCCAAAAGGACUUUAGAGAAGCUAGGGAGAGUGUUUACCUACAGGGAGGAGACUGGGUGCCGGAAGGUUGAGGGAAGGUGUGGUAUGGGGUGGGAAGGACACUCCACUCUACUGGGAUUCCUUUGUAUCUCUUGAAUGAAUUAAAUCAUGUAUUACCUCUUUAACAACCACAUAAAAGUUGAUCCAGUUCUUUCCUUCCUGCA